RNAcentral lists this unclassified non-coding RNA (143 nucleotides) under uncultured Helotiales. RNAcentral describes it as "sequence contains ITS2". The record is from RNAcentral. Lineage: Eukaryota; Fungi; Ascomycota; Leotiomycetes; Helotiales.
UAACCACUCAAGCCUCGGCUUGGUCUUGGGGUUCGCGGUCUCGCGGCCCUUAAAAUUAGUGGCGGUGCCGUCUGGCUCUAAGCGUAGUAAUUCUCUCGCUAUAGGGUUCAGGUGACCACCUGUCAGAACCCCCCAUUCUUUAC